Molecule: ribosomal RNA, 702 nt
Filed under: Triticum aestivum (bread wheat)
Lineage: Eukaryota; Viridiplantae; Streptophyta; Magnoliopsida; Poales; Poaceae
Description: partial small subunit ribosomal RNA
Source: RNAcentral
AUGGCUUUCCACCUAAGAUCGAUAAGUUUGCCUUCUAGGCCUCAUGCCACCGAGACUGAGAUUGAAGAAGAGAUGUUGAGCCUAGAGGCAAGCAUCUCUUCCUCCACGACCAUCGGCACGAUGUGUGAGGGUCUGAGGAGGCUUGGAGACAUCUACAAUGGUGUUGAAGAGAUCAUCUGCCUACCAAGCAGCCAAGUCUGCCCCUACCAUCAGAGGAUGGUGUUGGAUGGAGAAAUGGAAGGUUCUCUCGAACUGCUAGAUCUCUGUGGUGCCAUGCAAGAGAUCUUCGCCGAGAUGAAGGCCAUCAUCCAAGAGCUGCAAGUGGCUCUAAGGAAAGGGGAUGAUGCGGCUGCUCAAGCCAGGAUCCAAUCUUACACCCGCUUGACGAAGAAGGCCAAGAAUCAUUUCAACAAGACCGCGAAGAAGACUUCUGUAGAUUGCAGGAUGGUCAUGCUCUUGGCCAAGGCCAGGGAGAUCUCUGUCUCUCUGCUGGAGUCCACAUUCCGUCUCUUGUCAAAGCAAAUUGAAAUGCCUAAACAGUCUCUUGUUUCCAAGGCAUUUCACAAAAAGAAGUCAGUUGUUUGCAAGGAGCAACUGUUGGGGUUAGAGUGCAGUAUUGGAGAUCUUGAGAUCGGAGCAGGACAUCUUUUCAGGAAAUUAGUCCAGAGCAGAGUUUCUCUACUCAACAUCCUUAGCUCAUAG